GAUGAAGAACGCAGCGAAAUGCGAUACUUGGUGUGAAUUGCAGAAUCCCGUGAACCAUCGAGUCUUUGAACGCAAGUUGCACCCGAAGCCAUUAGGCCGAGGGCACGCCUGCCUGGGCGUCACACGUCGUUGCCCCCCCAUCUACUCCUUCGGGAUUGCGGGGGGCGGAUGAUGGCCUCUCGUGCGCCUCGUCGCGCGGUUGGCCUAAAUGCCAAGUCCUCGGCGACGCACGCCACGACAAUCGGUGGUUGCGAAACCUCGGUUGCCUGUCGUGUGCGGUCGUCGCGCAUCGAGGGCUCGAAAAAAUUGCCGGGCUUCGGCUCGACUUUCAACGCGACCCCAGGUCAGGCGGGGUUACCCGCUGAAUUUAAGCAUAUCAAUAAGCGGAGGA
RNAcentral lists this unclassified non-coding RNA (391 nucleotides) under soil metagenome. Its description in RNAcentral is "partial contains 5.8S ribosomal RNA, internal transcribed spacer 2, and large subunit ribosomal RNA". The stretch from base 1 to 122 matches the Rfam family "5.8S ribosomal RNA", at positions 35 to 154 of the family's 154-position model. The record is from RNAcentral.